UCGAAACCUGCCUAGCAGAACGACCCGCGAACGAGUUGCAAACAACACCGGAGGUGGUGCGGGUGCAUCCUCGCCUCUCGCCACCCCCGUGUCUCGGAGCGGCCAGUCUCGUCGUCCCUCUGCCCGUCGGGUGGGGUGAGAUGCCGGGAUCAACCUCUUCGAGGCAAAACGAACAAACCCCCGGCGCGAAUCGCGCCAAGGAAUCGAAACGAAAAAAGGGGCACGUCUUCUGUCGCCGCACCGUUCGCGGUGUCGGUGCUUCAGUGAUGCUGUUCUCUUGUCGCAAAAUAUAC
Molecule: unclassified non-coding RNA, 293 nt
Filed under: Gossypium raimondii (Peruvian cotton)
Lineage: Eukaryota; Viridiplantae; Streptophyta; Magnoliopsida; Malvales; Malvaceae
Description: ITS1
Source: RNAcentral